GAUGAAGAACGUAGCGAAAUGCGAUAAGUAAUGUGAAUUGCAGAAUUCAGUGAAUCAUCGAAUCUUUGAACGCACCUUGCGCUCUUUGGUAUUCCGAAGAGCAUGCCUGUUUGAGUGUCAUGAAAAUAUCAACCUUGACUUGGGUUUUGUGCUCUAGUCUCGGCUUGGAAUUGGGUGCUUGCCGCUUUUACGAGCGGCUCACCUUAAAUGUAUUAGCUGGAUCUGUCUUUGAGACUUGGUUUGACUUGGCGUAAUAAGUAUUUCGCUAAGGACAUUUUUCGGAGUGGCCUCGUUUCUAGGACGCUUGUCCGCUUUCCAAUACAAGUUCCACCUCGUGGACAUGACUUUUUAUUAUCUGGCCUCAAAUCAGGUAGGACUACCCGCUGAACUUAAGCAUAUCAAUAAGCGGAGGA
This 413-nucleotide unclassified non-coding RNA is filed under the name soil metagenome. RNAcentral describes it as "partial contains 5.8S ribosomal RNA, internal transcribed spacer 2, and large subunit ribosomal RNA". The stretch from base 1 to 120 matches the Rfam family "5.8S ribosomal RNA", at positions 35 to 154 of the family's 154-position model. The record is from RNAcentral.